UACGUAGGGGGCAAGCGUUGUCCGGAUUUAUUGGGCGUAAAGAGCUCGUAGGCGGUUCGGUAAGUCGGGUGUGAAAACUUUGGGCUCAACCCAAAGCCUGCACUCGAUACUGCUGUGACUUGAGUCCGGUAGGGGAGUGGGGAAUUCCUGGUGUAGCGGUGGAAUGCGCAGAUAUCAGGAGGAACACCGGUGGCGAAGGCGCCACUCUGGGCCGGUACUGACGCUGAGGAGCGAAAGCGUGGGGAGCGAACAGG
This 254-nucleotide ribosomal RNA is filed under the name uncultured bacterium. Its description in RNAcentral is "partial 16S ribosomal RNA". It matches the Rfam family "Bacterial small subunit ribosomal RNA", at positions 524 to 776 of the family's 1533-position model. The record is from RNAcentral.